This 537-nucleotide ribosomal RNA is filed under the name uncultured bacterium. RNAcentral's name for it is "bacterial SSU rRNA". It matches the Rfam family "Bacterial small subunit ribosomal RNA", at positions 355 to 889 of the family's 1533-position model. The record is from RNAcentral.
UAGGGAAUCUUCCACAAUGGGCGAAAGCCUGAUGGAGCAACGCCGCGUGAGUGAUGAAGGUUUUCGGAUCGUAAAACUCUGUUGUUAGGGAAGAACACCCGGGAGAGGAUCCCGGUUUGACGGUACCUAACGAGGAAGCCCCGGCUAACUACGUGCCAGCAGCCGCGGUAAUACGUAGGGGGCAAGCGUUGUCCGGAAUUAUUGGGCGUAAAGCGCGCGCAGGCGGUUUAUUAAGUCUGAUGUGAAAGCCCACGGCUCAACCGUGGAGGGCCAUUGGAAACUGGUAGGCUUGAGUGCAGGAGAGGAGAGCGGAAUUCCCGGUGUAGCGGCGAAAUGCGUAGAUAUCGGGAGGAACACCCGUGGCGAAGGCGGCUCUCUGGCCUGUAACUGACGCUGAGGCGCGAAAGCGUGGGGAGCAAACAGGAUUAGAUACCCUGGUAGUCCACGCCGUAAACGAUGAGUGCUAAGUGUCGGGGGUGACCAACCCUCGGUGCUGUCGCUAACGCAAUAAGCACUCCGCCUGGGGAGUACGGCCGC